GCAAAAAAAGAAGAAAAAAA
Molecule: small RNA, 20 nt
Filed under: Arabidopsis thaliana (thale cress)
Lineage: Eukaryota; Viridiplantae; Streptophyta; Magnoliopsida; Brassicales; Brassicaceae
Description: ATSL227480
Source: RNAcentral